GACGAACGCUGGCGGCGUGCUUAACACAUGCCAGUCGAACGGAAAGGCCCUGCUUUUGUGGGGUGCUCGAGUGGCGAACGGGUGAGUAACACGUGAGUAACCUGCCCUUGACUUUGGGAUAACUUCAGGAAACUGGGGCUAAUACCGGUUAGGAGCUCCUGCUGCAUGGUGGGGGUUGGAAAGUUUCGGCGGUUGGGGAUGGACUCGCGGCUUAUCAGCUUGUUGGUGGGGUAGUGGCUUACCAAGGCUUUGACGGGUAGCCGGCCUGGGCGGGUGACCGGCCACGUUGGGAUGGGAAUGCGGCCCGGACUCCUACGGGAGGGAGCAGUGGGGAAUAUUGCACAAUGGGCGGAAGCCUAAUGCAGCAACGCCGCGUGCGGGAUGAGAGCCUUCGGGUUGUAUUCCGCUUUCGCCUGUGACGAAGCGUGAGUGACGGUAAUGGGUAAAGAAGCACCGGCUAACUACGUG
Molecule: ribosomal RNA, 468 nt
Filed under: uncultured bacterium
Lineage: Bacteria
Description: partial 16S ribosomal RNA
Rfam family: Bacterial small subunit ribosomal RNA
Source: RNAcentral